This is a long non-coding RNA of Fukomys damarensis (Damara mole-rat), 580 nucleotides long. RefSeq lists it as uncharacterized. The transcript has 3 exons. The record is from RefSeq and is a predicted model, not a curated record. Lineage: Eukaryota; Metazoa; Chordata; Mammalia; Rodentia; Bathyergidae.
AAGAAGCGAGGAAUAUGCAUAAUAUUAGGUACUCUGAGUUCCUGGAUCACCCUACUGUAGGAGCAGGAGUAUUAAUCUUAAUAACUUUUCCAUAAGUGUCACUAAAUUUGGACCCUUUACUUAAGCUUCAUCUGGAAGAGCUGAAGUUGGGGGAACUGAAGUCACCUGACAGGACUGGCUUCCCUUACCCUGAAAUAUCCACCUCCAAGUUGACUCAAAAGAACAAGUGAUUCUGAGAGCUGGAUUCUCUGAGCAGCAUGGCACUCUCUUCCUGGUGAGAGACCCCUGGCUACAGGACCACAUGGAGAAGCAGAAGAGAAACCAGCCGUGUGCAAGAGUAUACAUAGUACCAAGGAAGCAAGAGACUGGAUACACGUUCACUCUUCUUACACCAAUGUCUUCUCUUGGAAACGAACUCAUUCCUUUCAAAUCUAUUCACACACCUGAGAUUGGUUAAUACGUUCCAGAGAGCAGAGCACUCAUGAUGUAACCACUGCCCAUUGGCACUUCCUAUCAAAGAUUUCUACCACCUUAAAAUCAUUAUCCUAGCACAUGAACCUCUGAAGGACAAACCGCAUUU